This 1181-nucleotide long non-coding RNA is filed under the name Homo sapiens (human). Its description in RNAcentral is "HSALNT0156809". Lineage: Eukaryota; Metazoa; Chordata; Mammalia; Primates; Hominidae. The record is from RNAcentral.
GCCCGGGCCACUGCGGACUCUGAGCGCCUUUGCGCCGGGACCUGCGGUGCCCAGAGGCCGCCCCGCGUGCCCGGCCCGAGGGCGGGCACCGGUAAGGGAGGGCCCAGGUCAGGGCUUCCCGCCAGCGUUCGUCCCGGCCCCGCAGCUUCCUGCGCCGGAGCGGCCCAGAGGCAGAGGCCUGAGCUGGAGCACACGCCAGGAGGGCUAAGGUUCCCGGGAGAGGGGUCGAGAAGGCAGCAGGGUCCUCCCGCCGCUGAGGUUUGGCCUCGGGAGCAGCAGAUGGUCGGCGGGAGCUCAACCCGAAACGCAGAAGGGGUGUUUUGCUGGUCAGGGAACUUUCCACUCUUAACCUCCUUGAACUCAACCCCCAACUUCUGGGAGGAGCUCAGCCCGCACCCCUCCGGGCUGCCAGGAGGAGAGGCACCUGCAGUCCCCUGUAACAAAAGCACUGCUGAGGACUCAAGACCUUGGGCAUAGGCAGGGCCUGAAGGAAUCGCCCAGUACACACCCAGGCUGGUGUCUGCUCGGUGCCUGACGAGUGACUGAGUUACUGCCAGCCUCUGCACAGCCUGGCCAGGGAGGUGCCAACCGGCUUCCUCCACAGCCACAGGCAAGACUGUUGACCACUGCCCUGCCCCCACUGGCACAGCAAAAGUAGGGGAGGGGCAGAAGACAACACGGGGUCAAGGGCACCCCACAGAACACCACAAACAGCCUUAGCAGGACACUCACACCCAGGAAGCAGAGGGAUGGCCACUCAAGCAAGCUGGGGGUCCUCUGAGGUGCCCUCAGGCUGGGCUGCCGCGCGUGCUCUUUGAAGUGUGUAGCUGACAUGCAUCUCAGCUGCCCUUUAACCUGUGUAAAAUCAAGGGUCUUGUCCUGUGAGUCUCGUCCAGAUCAGCUCCAGGGAGAUGAUCUAUCACUGCUUUCCAUCUUCUACUUUCCAUCCGACCCUUGGGCUGUGUCCCAAAAGCCAAUGAUUCGAUAGGAGAAACUCUAGGAUUUCAGAUGUCCAGUACGUGAACAAAAGAGGGGUCCAUUCUGCACCCACCGCCUCUACCACAACUCCCACUGGUAGAGCUGGUUCACAUUUCAAAAGAAUCACCAUUUUUUCAAAUGUCAGAUUUCUUUAUUAAAAUGUGCACAUUAUAGUUUACUUAAAUACAAAAUGUUCACUUUCC